GGGGCUGGCCCUGAGGAUGGAAGGUGAAGCGUUAAUGACUCAGAGCGCAGUCGCUGCCCUCUGAACUGGAACGGAAAGCUACUUCCGGUUGCAGUCAUUCUGCCGGGCACCGGCGACCUGUGGCGUGAGCGAGCACAGCCGGAACCCUCCACUGUGAGUAAAAGCGGAGACAGGGAGUCUGGGUCGGCCGAGCCCGGGGACGCAGGGCUGGGGUGUGUGAGCGGGUGUGGGAUGCGCUGCGCUGCACCGAAGUCUCCUCCGAGAAGUAGAGCUGCGGCCCCAGCGAGUUUACAGCGCGAUUUUGAGCGAGAGAAAGCGCGGGUCCCUGUCCCCGAGCUGACCCUGUGGGGCUUUCCCGGCCCGUGACCUCAGCUCCGCGACGACAGUCCCCCACCCGUCGCGGCAGGGUGACUGCCGCUCUCCUCGCUGCUUCCCGGGGCUGGAAACGAGCGCGGCACGGCCUGCGGUGUUGGGGCGCCGGGGAUCCCGGAGUCCUCGACUUCGCAGAAGCCGGUCGCCCCGGCGGUUAUGCCCUCGAACACUUAAUAGACUCUUUGUGUCUAUCCCGGGAGUUGCACAAUUCCCUUCUCUGCUUUCCUGUGGAGUGUCAUCAUAGUCUUGUCAAUGAGAAGUUGGGUAACUUCCCCCUAGGAGUCCCGGAGAGAAUGGGUGGCCAAGGCUCAAAGAGCAGAAGUAGCCAUCCUCCUUCCCUGGUCACCCAGUCAUUAGGUAGAGUCUCCACCGUCGUGUAAACUGAGUGGCAACGAGUUAUACACCAAAAACAAGCAAGCAAGCAAACAAACGAGAAGAAAAAGAGCAAUGCUUGUCCUGAAAUCCGAUCAAGGGGGAAGAUGCUCGCUGUACCCCCAGAGGACUUAGGCUCUCUCACUAUUAGGCUGGCUGUACAAAGCAGCCUUCUUGGGUGUCUUUUUCUCUCGCAGAAACUUUUGAGAAGUUAACAUGAAGAAGAAACGAUAAGCUAGAAAGUGAAGAGAGGUGGAGUAACACCCCGCCGUUUGCCCAGUAACAGAAAGACAAGCACCACCUUCUUGCGAAAAGCCAUAUUGUCCCCUUUGAGAGGGGCCGUGAACCCCUCAAAUGAUAAAGGAGAAAAUGAAACCACCCCGCUAAAGCGUUUUCAAUCAUGUAAGACAAAGCCUUCCACAUCUCUUAAAGGCGCCUACUCACGUUGUUUUGCUCCCCUAUGGAAAUGAGAUCAUUGCUUACUCUGUACACCCUCUUCUCUUGGCGUUGGUCACUUUUCCCAAGUUUGGAUUUUUAUGUCGUUUUUUUUUUCUUCCUUCCUUCCUUUCUUCUUUCUUUCUUUCUUUCUUUCUUUCUUUCUUUCUUUCUUUCUUUCUUUUCCUUUCUUAAAGGUACAGUUGUUGCCAGGCAUGGUGGCUCAUGCUUUUAAUCCCAGAACUCAGGAGGAAGAUACAGAUAUAGUAACCCUUCAUGCUAUGUGCCACAUACUGUAAAGAACUAUUAGUCAUGUGGCUUUGCCUAGGUUUUGUAUCCAAGAUUAUUGUCCUCUUGCAAAUUAUUGAGAUAAUUUCCUGUGCUAUUUCAUUUUAAUACUUGACUCAUUUUAAACAUCUGAAGUUAUUCUUGUACACUGUAGAAACAUAAUUAUGAAUUAGGUAUCAUAGGUUUUUUUUUUCAACGUAAUAAAAACAAACAUACCAGGAAGAGGAAUUUUCAUUUGAGGUAUCGUCUCUAUCAGAAUGGCCUGUGAACUUGUCUGUGAGGUAUUCUUUUAUUGCUGGUUGAUAUGGGAGGAUCCAGCCAGCUCUGAGUACUAUGAUCCCUGGGCAGGUGGGCCUAGACUUUAUAAGAAAGAAUGAGCAAGCUGGGAGAAGAAAACUGGGAAGUAGGCAUCAACCUUCUGUGGUUUUUUGCUCCAGCUUCUUGCUUGAGUUUCUGCUCCAACUUCCCCCAGUGAUGGGUUUUGAACUAUGAGUUGUAAGAUGGAGUGAACCCCUUCAUUCUCAAGUUGCUUUUGGUCAUAGUGUUCAUCAUAGCAUCAGAAACAAAAGUACAAGUGGGUUAGGUGAGUAAGUUGACUUAGCAAGUAAAGGUGUCUGCCACUAAGCCUGACAUCAGGGAUCCAUCCCGAGGACCAGCAAGGUAGAAGGAGAGAAACUAACCCCUCAAUGUUGCCCUGUGACUCUUUUACACACACACACACACACACACACACACACACACACACACUACACGCC
Molecule: long non-coding RNA, 2222 nt
Filed under: Mus musculus (house mouse)
Lineage: Eukaryota; Metazoa; Chordata; Mammalia; Rodentia; Muridae
Description: long non-coding RNA chr2:61593055-61595277
Source: RNAcentral